GGAGUUGUGGCUCACUGGUAGAGCACUCACCUACUACAUGUGAGGCACUGGGUUCAAUCCUCAGCACUACA
This 71-nucleotide transfer RNA is filed under the name Marmota monax (woodchuck). RNAcentral describes it as "tRNA.Ser". Lineage: Eukaryota; Metazoa; Chordata; Mammalia; Rodentia; Sciuridae. The record is from RNAcentral.